AGGAGGAACAAUCCCAGUGGAGGCGGCCAGCUCUGGAGCCCUGGAUUCAGCUCCUGCAGUUACUAGGGAGCUCUCAGUCUGCAGGGCCCUGGAUGCUCCGGGGGCAG
RNAcentral lists this microRNA precursor (107 nucleotides) under Canis lupus familiaris (dog). Its description in RNAcentral is "mir-8834 microRNA precursor family". It matches the Rfam family "mir-8834 microRNA precursor family". Lineage: Eukaryota; Metazoa; Chordata; Mammalia; Carnivora; Canidae. The record is from Rfam by way of RNAcentral.